RNAcentral lists this ribosomal RNA (274 nucleotides) under uncultured bacterium. RNAcentral's name for it is "partial 16S ribosomal RNA". It matches the Rfam family "Bacterial small subunit ribosomal RNA", at positions 523 to 796 of the family's 1533-position model. The record is from RNAcentral.
AUACGGAGGGGGUUAGCGUUGUUCGGAAUUACUGGGCGUAAAGCGCACGUAGGCGGAUUGGAAAGUUGGGGGUGAAAUCCCAGGGCUCAACCCUGGAACUGCCUCCAAAACUAACAGUCUAGAGUUCGAGAGAGGUGAGUGGAAUUCCAAGUGUAGAGGUGAAAUUCGUAGAUAUUUGGAGGAACACCAGUGGCGAAGGCGGCUCACUGGCUCGAUACUGACGCUGAGGUGCGAAAGCGUGGGGAGCAAACAGGAUUAGAUACCCGAGUAGUCC